Molecule: long non-coding RNA, 407 nt
Filed under: Bos taurus (domestic cattle)
Lineage: Eukaryota; Metazoa; Chordata; Mammalia; Artiodactyla; Bovidae
Description: long non-coding RNA NONBTAT001170
Source: RNAcentral
UUAAUUAGAAGGGAUAGUUAUCAAGUUCAAUUAUUCAGUCUUUUAUGUUGAACUGUAUAUGAGAAUAAUAUCAUCUGCUAGUGUUAAUGAUACACAAUAGGAUCACAGCUUUAACUAAAGAACACAUAUGCAGUUAAGAGGUGCAACCACAUGUUGUGGAUGAAAAUAUAUGUUCAGCUUAAGAGAAGAUAAAUUGCCAAAUGAAGCAACUGAAGGAAGGAUAGAUAGUGGAUACUCAGAUCAAAGCAACAAAUACAACAUAAUUCCAAAAGAAUAGCUAUAAACUUCCCUUUACUGCCUUUAUCAUUGAAACACUCUUUUCAGUUAAUGUUAAAUCACUCUAGAAAAAAAAAAUGCAACAUCUCUCAAGUAGCCUUUAUUGUUUUUCUCCUAAGAUGAUAUCUGAG